AUAUGGUCUUGCGUUUAUAUUAAUUGCUUAUUAACUUAAUAUAUAUAGUGGAAUAAAAAAUAAUAAAUACCGUAAUUAUCACUUUGAAGCACUGAGGAAAUAUUGAACAUUUACAACAUUAAAUAGGAGUGCUUCAAAUAAUAUAAAUUUCAUAUGUAUGCAGUAAAAGAAUCUGCAUAAGAUUUUACAUGGAUGAAGCUUUUUGAUGAGCGAUUUCAUGACUUUAACUUUGGAGCUGCAAAGUUGGAUUCCAAAGCAUGAACAUAGAUAUUACCAGCGGCUUCUUCUUGAGCACAAGUGGCAAUUGCAAGCAUGCUUCCGUCAACAUUAAAAGAAAUAGAUGAUAUAUUGAUCUUUGAAGGAUUUAACACUCUUAAUCGUUUUCGGACUUGUAUAUCCCAAAACGCAACAACGCCAUCUCCCCCAGCAGUUGCCAAUGUUUGAUGAAUCGGAUGAAAUUUUAGGUCGUUAACUGGAUAAACAAUAUCGUAGUCCUUUUGUAUCUGCCGAUGGCAUUUAAAGGUAAAAUUUUUGCUUUGCGCUUCCUGAGACGGGUUAAUAUAUUCAACAGAUGUCCUUCCCUCAAUGCUGGAAGAAACGAAUCCCUCAAAAUUUUGGUUACAGCAAACACUUCGAGUCAUAUACUUAAAACUAGAAGGACGUCGCUGAAAUGGAAGUUUUAAAUUUCGAAUAUCGUACACCAAAUUUUCUCUUUCUGAACAGCCUAGAACCAAUAUAUUAUCUCUCGAGCUACUUGCAAAAAUUUUUUUUCCUAUAUCCUGUCCCUCGACAGGUUGCUUUACGCGAACAUCCCAAACACGAAAUGAUUUGUCCCAAGACCCACUAAUGAAACAGUCUAAAAUGUUAAUAGAAUAGCUGGCUAAUAAAAUAUAUAUCUUACUUUCCAAACGCAACUUAGAAAUGCACGAUACCCCCUUACCGUGGUUUCCUAAAAACUCAUGGUUUCGCGUAUUAAGAUCGAGGGUAGUAACUGUCCCAUCUAAAUUUCCUACUAAAGCAGUUUUUUCAUCUGUAUAUUCUAAAGAAAGAAUAGGACUUGAUAAAUCGUAUUUCCCUAAAAGUUCGGGAUUUUCCGAGAUUUGAUAAUGCAGUAAGCUACCAUCCCAGCACCCUGCAAUUAGUUCGUUUUUGACAGAGGGUGAAAAUAUUACACUUGAAAUCCCGUCUUUUGAAUUUUUUAGUAAUGUUUUUGAGAAAUUCAUGGCAGACUGACAGAUGACAUGAAAAAGGAGUUUGGCGAGGUAUAGGCCUUUAAAUGUUGCUUCAAAAGGACAACGUCGAAGUUCGAUGGUAAUUGACCGAAUUUUACGAAGAUGAAUUUCCAACGAUGCCGAUUAUAUUAGGUGUUAAACAUAAAUACUUACGUUUUCAUACGCGCAAAUUACUGUUUCAGCUUCUUUUCAACAAAUUUUGACAGUCUGUGCCUCACAAGUAUCUAAGAUAAGCGAAGCGAAUUGCUAAUAGCUGUGUAAAAUAAAUUGCAAAGGAGCUGAUUCUGACAGUUUAAAUAUGAUGUAACAACCGUUAUAUAAGACAUAACUAUGAAUACGUUUCAACACAACUACGUUCUACUAAAUACCACUCUAAAGCGAUGAAAAAAAAUCAUAAAAGAAAGAAAUGCACAUAACUCUACAUACUCAUACAAAAAACUGAAAGGCAAUAGUAGAUGUCAGUCAACUUUGACAAGUGAAUGUACUACUGUAAAAAUAAUUUGAGCGUCGACGAGAAAAUUUGCCUAGUUGAUAAAGCAGAAAGAAGAUUUAAAUAGAAAAUAAAGCUUAGAGUUUAGGUGACAUGUGCAAAAUCCCUUAAUAGCCGACACAAAACUCACCAGGUUUGGCAACAAUAUGGGUUUCAACUGCUUGACGCUCAACUGUGCGACGUAAAACGUUCUUCAAAAUCUCGACAGCAUCAGGAGUGAUCUGAAUAUGAAACACGAUACGAGGUCCCAUUAAAAUGAUUCCAGACUUUUUGGCUUCAUCGCAAAGAAUAGCAACGUUGAUAUUGGCCAAUGUCACCAUGUUACUUUGAGUGGGAACUUCAAGCUCAAUUCCAAGAGAUUCUGCGUAUUCGGCGACUUCAAUAGCAUAUUUAUGGACCUGCUUCAACAAAGGAAAGUUAUGCUGAAUUGAGUAUAAUCCUGCAGCAGCAAGCAUACCAGAUUGUCUCAAUCCACCACCAUAAGCCUUACGGAACCAUUUGGCUUUAGCAAUAAAGUCUCGUGGUCCCACAAUAAUGCUACCAACAGGAGCCGCAAGACCUUUGCUUAGGCAAAGACUAACGGAAUCAAAGUAAGAGCAGUACUCCUUAAUUGAAACGUUGGAAGCAACAGCAGCAUCCCAUAAGCGAGCACCGUCGCAAUGCAGGGGGAUCUUGUGAGCCUUAGCUAAACCAGAUAUACGAGCCACUUCAUCCAAUGGAACGACAGCACCUUUAAUAGUAUUUUCUAAACAAAUCAACCCAGUGGGUGAAAAGUGAAUAUCAUUUCCCAGGAUAAGCUUGUUCUCAAUUUCCUCGGCAGUAAUAUAUACAUUAUUUUUUGGAGAAAUAGGACGAACAAUAGCUUGCGUAAACAAACCAAUUGCACCCGCUUCCCAGUUAUAAAUAUGGGCGCGAUCAUCACAAAUGAUACUAUGAGGAGGUUGAUGCAAAUGACUACGAAUACACAACUGAUUACCUUGAGUACCAGAUGUUACGAACAAAGCAGCUUCCUUACCAGUCAACUUUGCAACAUAAACUUCCAACUUUCUAGUAUCCUCAUCUUCCUCAUAAACGCAAUCACCAUCAGAGGCCUCAUACAUGAUGCGACGCAUUUCAUCGGUAGGAACAGUCAAAGUGUCACUACGGAAAUCAUUCCAAGGACGAUACUUUUUAGCGCUCCCUUGGUUGGAAGGGCAUAAUCUUGUUUCGGUAGUCGUAGAAGUAACGGAUCCGCUCAUAUUUUUUUUUUAUCAAAAAGGAAUUGACGAAACUAAAUUUAAACACCUGCAAGCUAAGUUUGACCGCAAGACACAAAAAUUGUUUUCAAUGUAAAAUAAACAACAAAAAUAUAUUUAUUUUACAGAUCUAAUAAAUCGUUGAAGAUCAGCAGUUCAACGAGAAAAAAAACAAAAAAUUUUUUAGACUGUUGAAGCCCAAAACCAAAAGAAUCUUUAACGAAAUUUAACAGUUAAAUUUUUUCCUUAUCCAGAAAUUAUCUUUUGAUAAAGUAAAGAUGCAGUUGAAGGCACUUUCUCUUUAAAAUCUGGGCGUUUU
Molecule: long non-coding RNA, 3276 nt
Filed under: Schizosaccharomyces pombe (fission yeast)
Lineage: Eukaryota; Fungi; Ascomycota; Schizosaccharomycetes; Schizosaccharomycetales; Schizosaccharomycetaceae
Source: RNAcentral